CAUAAACUUUUCUUUAAAAGACUGUUGUUUCUCCUCUCAGUACCGUUGUCCAAUAAUCUCAGUCCAUUCGGGAGUCGAGCCGGUCAUUGUCUGACGUGCCCGGGACAGGCAUUUUGGCGCAAAGCAGAUGUUGAAUUGAUUCGUGUUGUAUUAACAGAUCGGUUAGGCUAUUCUGUCUUCUUCUUGUUGUUGUGAGUCAUUUUCUUGCAUCAAAAGAGAGACAGUCUACCAGAUCAUUCCGACUUCAAAAAACUACAAAAUGGCACUUCAGAAUAAAAUCCUUCAUCUGAGCUGCAGGAGAGUUUUGGGAGAAGUGUUCAAUAAGAGGUUUGUCAGUAAUUCUCCUGCGCUGCUCAAAUCUGCAACCAGCGAGUCGAUCUGCGCGACCGGAGAAGAGACUUUCCCGGAGGGUUUGAUCACACCGGGGACCGGGGCGGACGUGGUCGGUAAGGAGACCCGGAUCAAGAGUCUGAAAGAGAUGCCGGGACCGAGCGCCAUCGCCAACCUGAUGGAGUUCUUUUACCGGGACGGUUUCAGUAGAAUCCACGAGAUACAGAUGGAACACUCUCAGAAGUAUGGAAAGAUCUUUAAGUCUCGUUUCGGCCCCCAGCUGGUUGUGUCUAUCGCAGGGCGGGAUCUGGUUGCCGAGGUGCUGAGGACGGAAGGUGUGGCCCCGCAGAGAGGCAACAUGGAGUCCUGGAAGGAGUACCGCGACCUGAGGGGCCGAUCUACCGGACUUAUCUCAGCGGAGGGUGAGGAAUGGUUGAAGAUGCGCAGUGUCCUCCGUCAGCUGAUCAUGAGACCGAAGGACGUGGCUCAGUUCUCUGACGAUGUGAAUGCUGUGGUGGGGGACCUGGUGAAGAGAGUGGUUACGCUGAGGAGAGGGCAGACAGACGGACUCCACCGUGCUCAAUAUUAACGAUCUGUUUUUCAAAUACGCAAUGGAAGGUAUGGCAGCCAUCUUGUACGAGGACCGUCUGGGCUGCUUGGAGAAUGAGGUUCCUCAGAAGAGCCAGGACUACAUCGCAGCCCUGCACCUGAUGUUUAGUUCCUUUAAGAUGACCAUGUACGCCGGAGCCAUCCCUAAGUGGCUCAGAACCAUCAUCCCCAGACCCUGGGACGAGUUCUGCAGCUCCUGGGACGGACUCUUCAGUUUCAGCCAGAUCCAUGUCGAUAAGCGUCUGGGGGAGAUCCAGGAUCUGGUGUCCCGAGGAGAGACAGUGAAGGGGGGUCUUUUAACUCACAUGCUGGUGACCAGAGAGAUGAACCUGGAGGAGAUCUACGCCAACAUGACUGAGAUGUUACUGGCUGGGGUGGACACGACAUCAUUCACCCUGUCCUGGGCCUGCUACCUCUUGGCCCGUCACCCUGAGGUCCAGCAGGAGAUCUACGAGGAGGUGAAGAGGACUCUGGGACACGGGACCAUCCCCCACCGCUGAUGACGUCCCUCGUCUACCGCUCAUCAGAGGACUGGUGAAGGAGACACUAAGAAUGUUUCCUGUUCUGCCGGGCAAUGGGCGUGUUACCCAGGAUGACUUGGUGAUUGGUGGUUACGCCAUCCCCAAAGGGACCCAGUUGGCUCUAUGUCACUACUCUACCUCCAUGGACGAGGAGAAUUUCCCCGGAGCUGAGGACUUCCGUCCAGACCGCUGGAUCAGGAAGGACGCUACGGACCGGGUGGAUAACUUCGGGUCCAUCCCGUUCGGCUACGGCAUCAGGAGCUGCAUCGGCAGGAGGAUCGCUGAACUGGAGAUGCACCUGGCUCUUACACGGCUGAUCCAGAGGUUCCAGAUUGGGCUGUGUCCCGUCACAGAAGAAAUCAAAGCCAAAACCCACGGCCUCCUCUGUCCUGCUGCGCCCAUCAACCUGCAGUUUGCUGACAGACAACCCUAGACCCAAACCCACGGCCUCCUCUGUCCUGCUGCGUCCAUCAACCUGCAGUUUGCUGACAGACAACCCUAGACCAAAACCCACGGCCUCCUCUGUCCUGCUGCGUCCAUCAACCCGCAGUUUGCUGACAGACAACCCUAGACCAAAACCCACGGCCUCCUCUGUCCUGCGCGUCCAUCAACCCGCAGUUUGCUGACAGACAACCCUAGACCAAAACCCACGGCCUCCUCUGUCCUGCUGCGUCCAUCAACCCGCAGUUUGCUGACAGACAACCCUAGACCAAAACCCACGGCCUCCUCUGUCCUGCUGCGUCCAUCAACCCGCAGUUUGCUGACAGACAACCCUAGACCAAAACCCACGGCCUCCUCUGUCCUGCUGCGUCCAUCAACCCGCAGUUUGCUGACAGACAACCCUAGACCAAAACCCACGGCCUCCUCUGUCCUGCUGCGUCCAUCAACCCGCAGUUUGCUGACAGACAACCCUAGACCAAAACCCACGGCCUCCUCUGUCCUGCUGCGUCCAUCAACCCGCAGUUUGCUGACAGACAACCCUAGACCAAAACCCACGGCCUCCUCUGUCCUGCAGCGCCCAUCAACCCGCAGUUUGCUGACAGACAACCCUAGACCAAAACCCACGGCCUCCUCUGUCCUGCUGCGUCCAUCAACCCGCAGUUUGCUGACAGACAACCCAAGACCAAAACCCACGGCUUCCUCUGUCCUGCUACGUCCAUCAACCCGCAGUUUGCUGACAGACAACCCUAGACCAAAACCCACGGCCUCCUCUGUCCUGUCCUAUCUCUAUAGUGUGGAGGUAAAUGGGGGAGUAACUGACAGACCAUAAGGCAGGUUUAUAGUCCGUCCAGCCGCGUCUGUAGGGGAGUAACUGACAGACCAUAAGGCAGGUUUAUAGUCCGUCCAGCCGCGUCUGUAGGGGAGUAACUGACAGACCAUAAGGCAGGUUUAUAGUCCGUCCAGCCGCGUCUGUAGGGGAGUAACUGACAGACCAUAAGGCAGGUUUAUAGUCCGUCCAGCCGCGUCUGUAGGGGAGUAACUGACAGACCAUAAGGCAGGUUUAUAGUCCGUCCAGCCGCGUCUGUAGGGGGAGUAACUGACAGACCAUAAGGCAGGUUUAUAGUCCGUCCAGCCGCGUCUGUAGGGGAGUAACUGACAGACCAUAAGGCAGGUUUAUAGUCCGUCCAGCCGCGUCUGUAGGGGAGUAACUGACAGACCAUAAGGCAGGUUUAUAGUCCGUCCAGCCGCGUCUGUAGGGGAGUAACUGACAGACCAUAAGGCAGGUUUAUAGUCCGUCCAGCCGCGUCUGUAGGGGAGUAACUGACAGACCAUAAGGCAGGUUUAUAGUCCGUCCAGCCGCGUCUGUAGGGGAGUAACUGACAGACCAUAAGGCAGGUUUAUAGUCCGUCCAGCCGCGUCUGUAGGAGAGUAACUGACAGACCAUAAGGCAGGUUUAUAGUCCGUCCAGCCGCGUCUGUAGGGGAGUAACUGACAGACCAUAAGGCAGGUUUAUAGUCCGUCCAGCCGCGUCUGUAGGGGAGUAACUGACAGACCAUAAGGCAGGUUUAUAGUCCGUCCAGCCACGUCUGUAGGGGAGUAACUGACAGACCAUAAGGCAGGUUUAUAGUCCGUCCAGCCACGUCUGUAGACCAUUAGAAGGCGACAAGUGUCUUUUGGCUAAAUCAACAUUACAUUUUUUUGUAUUUUUUUUUAGUCAGGCCGAUUUAUUCUGUAGACCGUCGGUUUUCUUGUCACAGAAACAAAGAAACAAUUUUAAACUUUGACCUUGUCACAGCUUAAAGAAGUUCACAAUUCACAAGACAGAAUUCAGUUUUUAUUUUUGUCACAUUCACAACCGUAAGUCCGUUAUUUUGAAAUGAGUCUGAAGACUAAAGGUCCUAGGUCUAACUGAGUCUCCAUGUUUACUUGUAAGGAAGAGAAUUGGAUGUUCAUCUUUGAUUAGUAGGCUAAUGCCUGACCAGUUUCUAUAAAUUCCUGUCUGUCACGUUAACGAAUUGAGAUGGUGGUUCCAUGUCCUAGAAUAAAGUCACGUCCUGUUGAA
Non-coding RNA from Salmo salar (Atlantic salmon), 3963 nucleotides. Lineage: Eukaryota; Metazoa; Chordata; Actinopteri; Salmoniformes; Salmonidae. The record is from RefSeq and is a predicted model, not a curated record.